GAUGAAGAACGUAGCGAAAUGCGAUACUUGGUGUGAAUUGCAGAAUCCCGUGAACCAUCGAGUCUUUGAACGCAAGUUGCGCCCGAAGCCACUAGGCCGAGGGCACGCCUGCCUGGGCGUCACACGCCGUUGCCCCCCCAUCUACUCCUUCGGGAUUGCGGGGGGGCGGAUGAUGGCCUCCUGUGCGCCUAGCCGCGCGGUUGGCAUAAAUACCAAGUCCUCGGCGACGCACGCCACGACAAUCGGUGGUUGCGAAACCUCGGUUGCCCGUCGUGUGCGUUCGUCGCGCAUCGAGGGCUCGAAAAAAUGCUCGGCUCCGGCUGGGCUUUCAACGCGACCCCAGGUCAGGCGGGGUUACCUGCUGAAUUUAAGCAUAUCAAUAAGCGGAGGA
This 391-nucleotide unclassified non-coding RNA is filed under the name soil metagenome. Its description in RNAcentral is "partial contains 5.8S ribosomal RNA, internal transcribed spacer 2, and large subunit ribosomal RNA". The stretch from base 1 to 122 matches the Rfam family "5.8S ribosomal RNA", at positions 35 to 154 of the family's 154-position model. The record is from RNAcentral.